UCUUUAUGUCAGAUGCUAUUCAUUUGGGGGAUUAGGAUUGUGUUUAGUUCAAUGAAGAGGCAGGACAUGUGGUUGAGGAGUGCAAAUUCAGAGUGUUAUAUGUUUCUCCACCUCAGCCCCCUUCUUCAGUCCCAGAAAGGUCGGAGGAAGGGUCUUCACCAAGAGCUUCAAUAGUGGAGAAUGAAAAUCUUAAUGGUGCUGAGUUUUCCAAUGCUGCAAAAGGACUUUUGGAGCAGCUUGAAUCUCUGGAGAGAUCCGCAGAGGUCAAAUAUCUGUUGCUUUGAACCAUAGGAGAGAGGGUGUACUUUUUGAAUUUUAAAGAAACGGAAGCC
This is a long non-coding RNA of Rosa chinensis, 332 nucleotides long. RefSeq lists it as uncharacterized. The record is from RefSeq and is a predicted model, not a curated record. Lineage: Eukaryota; Viridiplantae; Streptophyta; Magnoliopsida; Rosales; Rosaceae. The transcript is spliced from 3 exons.